AAUGCCGUAACAAAUAAUCGACCUUUCUUUCUAUCGGAUCGCUAACUAUUAAUCUCAAAAGUUUUGGUAGCUAGAAACACGCAAUCAAUUCACUUAAACCGCGCAGACACAGCAUUCGCAUAUCUCAAUUAUGACUCGAUUCAGCUUGGUCGCACGCCACAGAACAGGAUGCUGGUCCUUUUAUGGCAGCAUCUUUGACUAUUACAGUAGUGGUAGUCUCUUGUGAACGAUUUUAAGUAACUUACUCGAUUUUUUUGAAUCUUCAUUUGUUUUUCAUUCAAUUAUGUUGUUUUGGGUCCAUCGCUUCAGUUGUUGCGUUAGGUGCGAGUCGUUAGAUUUUAUUCUAUUAUUGUUGCCUUCACAGUCACAUAAAUAAAUAAAAUAAAAUAAAACUUAAUACUUGAAUUUGAAAGGUUAAAAUUGACUAGAGUCAUUUAGUCCACUUAAUGAAUAAGUUGAUUUGAAAAGACACAUUGAAUGUGGAAUUAUCAUCAUGAAUGAGGUGAUAUGAAAAGACACAUUCAAUGUGUAAAUUAUCA
Molecule: long non-coding RNA, 539 nt
Filed under: Ananas comosus (pineapple)
Lineage: Eukaryota; Viridiplantae; Streptophyta; Magnoliopsida; Poales; Bromeliaceae
Description: long non-coding RNA (ACOM_LNC021943)
Source: RNAcentral